Anopheles cruzii is the source of this 3307-nucleotide RNA transcript. It is a transcript of the gene named serrate RNA effector molecule homolog, with no coding region annotated. Lineage: Eukaryota; Metazoa; Arthropoda; Insecta; Diptera; Culicidae. The record is from RefSeq and is a predicted model, not a curated record. The transcript is spliced from 10 exons.
AGACAGUGACGCCGGGUGCUGGUGUCGAAUAUUUUUGCUUCUCAGCGGGCAGAAAAGAAAGUGUUUUCGUUGAAUUGCACGUCCCUGCAUCAUACGCGCCACUUAACUGAUAUACUCCACCAAUCAACCUCGCCACUAGCGCACAGUAUAGCAUGGGAGACUCGGACGAUGAAUACGACCGUAAACGUCGUGACAAAUUCCGUGGAGAGCGGAGCGCUGGCGGUGGCGGAGGUGGUGAUAGCUAUGGACGGGGAGUGGACCGACCGGAUCGCUCCAGAGGGCGAGACGAUUGGCCGGAUCGAGUCCGACCGCGGCAAGAUUAUCGCGAUUACAGACCACCGCCAAGGGAUCGCGGUUACUCGCCAGCUCGAGAAGCGCCGCCCAUGAAACGUAUGCGCGGAGAACCUUGGGGUGAUGAUGGUCGGCACCGGUUUGUUGGUCAUGAUGGUUACGGAAUGUACGGGUACAGCCAUGAACACUUCGGAAUGCAUCAUGGAGCCGGUCCUUACGGUGGCGGUCACCAAUCAGGAGUGCAUCAAAGAGAGCCGGCGCAAUCGGGAGACACUCAAACGCAGCCCUGCAUGAUGACUUUGAAGCAAUUUCUUGCCACACAGGAUGACUCUAUUUCAGAUUCCGAGGCGAUCACCAAAUAUAAUGAGUACAAGCUCGAAUUUCGACGGCAGCAGAUGAACGAGUUCUUUGUGGCCCAUAAGGAUGAAGAAUGGUUUAAAACGAAAUACCAUCCCGAAGAAUCGGAAAAGAGGAAAGCGGAGCAACUGUCGUUUUUGAAGCGGCGCUGCGAAAUUUUUCUCGAGUUGCUGAACACGAAAGACAUCGGACGGGUGUCGGUGGAUGCCUGCAAUAGUGACGCACUGCAUCGGCUACUGGAUACGGUGGUCAUCAAACUCGAAGGGGGAACCGACGAAGAUUUGAAGAUACUGGACGAAAAGCAGCCCGAAACGGCCCGACUUCUCCCGGUUAUUCCGUUGAUCGAUAUGUCGAAAUUGGACGCAAAAAAUGCCGAUGCGUCCACCGCAGCACAGUCUGGCAGCGAAGCACCCGGCGCAAAGAGAGAAGAACAACCGAACGAUCCUGCGGCCGGAGAAGCGGGCGGCGAAGCUGAAGGUGGCCCUGACGAGAAUGGCAAAGAAACUGAAGCAUCGUCUGCUGCCAACGACGAGCCCGCGAAAGGGGAUGAUGACGAAAAUCGCCAUGAAAGCGGAACCGACACUAAGCCACUUGACAAAGAUGACGAUGACGACGACGAACAGCGGCGAAUGAAACGGGAGUCUGAGGUCAGCCGAAAGAAUCGAAGCCGCUCCGAUUCGGCGUCCAGCUCUUCCUCCUCAUCUUCGUCGUCUUCCAGCGAUUCGGACGAGGAGAAGGACGAACGGCAGAAGCCGGAAGACGAUGAGCUUCCGAUUGCGGAGGAAACAACCCCGAAAAGCCCGGUAGAGGAUACCAAGAUGGACACAACCGAGCCAGGCAACGACGGUGGGGCGGAAGACGGCGAGGAAGCUGAUAAAGUUUCGGCAAAAGCUGGCAAUACCGAGGAUGAUCCGACAGUUGAUGACAAUCAAUCGGGUGCGAAAGAUGGCGAAGAUGGCGGGGCAAAGGAUGACGAAAAACGGCAGCCAGAGGGGGGAACCUCUGAUGAGACGGACGGCGAUGGUCAGCCAAAGACCGAAACCAUCGAUUUGGUUAAGGAUUCUCUCGCCGACACUGGCCCUCGUGCGCUACAUCGAACAAGUUCGAUAUUUUUGCGCAACCUGGCGCCCUCCAUCACAAAGGCCGAAGUUGAGGCGAUGUGCCGACGUUACAAUGGAUUUCUGCGGGUGGCCAUCGCCGAUCCGCUGCUCGAGAGGCGCUGGUUCCGGAGAGGCUGGGUUACAUUCAAGCGCGAAGUGAACAUCAAAGAGAUUUGUUGGCACUUGAACAACAUUCGGUUGCGCGAUUGCGAGCUUGGCGCCAUCGUGAACAAGGACCUAAGCCGGCGUGUGCGGCCGGUGAACGGUAUCACCUGCCACAAGACCAUCGUGCGCAGCGACAUCAAGCUCGGGGCCAAGAUUGCGCACAACAUGGACGACAAAUGGGGCCUGUGGAAGGAUGAUCCUGCCGUUGGUCCGAACGGAGGCGGGAAAAAUGGUUCCGGCGGCGCCCAUGAGCCAUCAUUCGGAUUGCAGUCGAAAAAUCCGGUUCUGCAAAACAUUACCGACUAUCUGAUCGAAGAGGCGUCGGCCGAAGAGGAAGAACUGCUCGGUCUUUCCGAUGACAACAAGAAGAGCUCGGAGGGUGAAGUUAUCGAGCGUGAUCCGCAGCUGCUCGAGGUGUUGGAUAAGCUCGUACUGUACUUGCGCAUUGUCCACUCGGUAGACUUCUACAACCACUGCGAGUACCCGUACGAGGACGAGAUGCCCAACCGGUGCGGCAUCAUUCAUGCCCGUGGUCCGCCACCGCAGGGCAAGGUGACGAGUAACGAAAUCCAGGAGUACGUCCGUACGUUCGAGGGCAAGAUGGCUUCGUUCCUGACGAAGCUGGCCGAUUUGGAUGACACGGAGAUGAAGAAGCUCGGCGCAAAGGAUGCCGAGGCGGAGGUGGAAAAGUUCAUCACGGCCAACACGCAGGAGCUGGCGAAGGACAAGUGGCUCUGUCCGCUGUCCGGUAAAAAGUUCAAGGGGCCCGACUUUGUGCGGAAGCACAUCUUCAACAAGCACGCCGAAAAGGUCGAAGAGGUUCGCAAGGAGGUGGAAUAUUUCAAUAACUACCUGAAAGAUUCCAAGCGACCCCAGCUGCCGGAACAUCCUGGCAAUACGAAGAAAGCGGGAUCGGAAAGUGCUGCUCCUGGCGGUGGGGCUGCUCCGGGUGGCGGAUACCGAAGCGCUCCCUUCGGAAUGUCGCACAGCUACGCUCCGAUGUAUGCACCGUAUGCGGCGGCGCCAUUAAUGGCUCCCAACGCACGUGGUAGACCACCGUACGGUCGCGCCGGAAGAGAGCCGAUGGCAGAAACUCGACGACCGAUCAUUGCCUACAGCGACUUGGAUGUACCCAAUUUCAGUGACAGUUUCUUUUGAGGAAUGAGCAUUGUUCCCGAAGGCCAAGGUGAACCCCUGAUUUUGCGUCACGAAUUCGAUUGAAAGUAGCUAGGUAUCUUUCAGCUUUCGAUCUUUCUCUACAUCCGUGCUUUCUGGAUUGUGUACUGAGCUUAUCCGUGGUGUUCACAAACAUGGCGUUUCGAUUCGCAGAGAACUUGAAGUGUCUCACAGUUAUCGAAAAGAUAUCAGACCGAUAGACCAAACAACCAACAUAC